RNAcentral lists this ribosomal RNA (492 nucleotides) under uncultured bacterium. RNAcentral's name for it is "partial 16S ribosomal RNA". It matches the Rfam family "Bacterial small subunit ribosomal RNA", at positions 29 to 507 of the family's 1533-position model. The record is from RNAcentral.
AGUGAACGCUGGCGGUAGGCCUAACACAUGCAAGUCGAACGGCAGCACAGUAAGAGCUUGCUCUUACGGGUGGCGAGUGGCGGACGGGUGAGGAAUACAUCGGAAUCUACUUUUUCGUGGGGGUUAACGUAGGGAAACUUACGCUAAUACCGCAUACGACCUACGGGUGAAAGCAGGGGAUCUUCGGACCUUGCGCGAUUGAAUGAGCCGAUGUCGGAUUAGCUAGUUGGCGGGGUAAAGGCCCACCAAGGCGACGAUCCGUAGCUGGUCUGAGAGGAUGAUCAGCCACACGGGAACUGAGACACGGUCCAGACUCCUAAGGGAGGCAGCAGUGGGGAAUAUUGGACAAUGGGCGCAAGCCUGAUCCAGACAUACCGCGUGGGUGAAGAAGGCAUUCGGGUUGUAAAGCCCUUUUGUUGGGAAAGAAAAGCAGCAGGUUAAUACCCCGCUGUUCUGACGGUACCCAAAGAAUAAGCACCGGCUAACUUCGUG